GGGACUGUAUCUUAGUGGUAGAGUACUUGUCUAGUGUGCAUAAGGCUCUGAGUUUGAUCCCCAGCAUUACCA
This 72-nucleotide transfer RNA is filed under the name Mus musculus (house mouse). It matches the Rfam family "tRNA". Rfam says of the family: Transfer RNA (tRNA) molecules are approximately 80 nucleotides in length. Their secondary structure includes four short double-helical elements and three loops (D, anti-codon, and T loops). RNAcentral also lists the same sequence under 1 other name. Lineage: Eukaryota; Metazoa; Chordata; Mammalia; Rodentia; Muridae. The record is from Rfam by way of RNAcentral.